This 253-nucleotide ribosomal RNA is filed under the name uncultured bacterium. RNAcentral's name for it is "partial 16S ribosomal RNA". It matches the Rfam family "Bacterial small subunit ribosomal RNA", at positions 524 to 776 of the family's 1533-position model. The record is from RNAcentral.
UACGGAGGGUGCAAACGUUGCUCGGAAUCAUUGGGCGUAAAGCGCACGUAGGCGGUCUCGAAAGUCAGAUGUGAAAUCCCUCGGCUUAACCAAGGAAGUGCAUUUGAAACUUCGAGACUUGAAUACUGGAGAGGGUCGCAGAAUUCUCGGUGUAGAGGUGGAAUGCGUAGAGAUCGGGAGGAACAUCGGUGGCGAAGGCGGCCAGCUGGGCCGUUGCUGACGCUGAGGCGCGAAAGCGUGGGGAGCAAACAGG